CAGAGGGUAGUUUAAUUUAUGAUCUUAGCUUUGGGAGUUAAGGAUAGGAGUUAGAGUCUUCUCCUUCUGA
RNAcentral lists this transfer RNA (70 nucleotides) under Nessorhamphus ingolfianus (duckbill oceanic eel). RNAcentral describes it as "tRNA-Pro". It matches the Rfam family "tRNA". From Rfam's summary of the family: Transfer RNA (tRNA) molecules are approximately 80 nucleotides in length. Their secondary structure includes four short double-helical elements and three loops (D, anti-codon, and T loops). Lineage: Eukaryota; Metazoa; Chordata; Actinopteri; Anguilliformes; Derichthyidae. The record is from RNAcentral.